UCCUACGGGAGGCAGCAGUGAGGAAUAUUGGUCAAUGGACGCAAGUCUGAACCAGCCAUGCCGCGUGCAGGAAGAAUGCCCUAUGGGUUGUAAACUGCUUUUAUUUGGGAAUAAACCUCUUUACGUGUAGAGAGCUGAAGGUACCAAACGAAUAAGCACCGGCUAACUCCGUGCCAGCAGCCGCGGUAAUA
RNAcentral lists this ribosomal RNA (191 nucleotides) under uncultured Bacteroidota bacterium. RNAcentral's name for it is "uncultured Bacteroidetes bacterium partial 16S ribosomal RNA". It matches the Rfam family "Bacterial small subunit ribosomal RNA", at positions 337 to 525 of the family's 1533-position model. Lineage: Bacteria; Pseudomonadati; Bacteroidota. The record is from RNAcentral.